RNAcentral lists this long non-coding RNA (1194 nucleotides) under Cricetulus griseus (Chinese hamster). RNAcentral describes it as "lncRNA (ENSCGRG00015038938.1)". The record is from RNAcentral. Lineage: Eukaryota; Metazoa; Chordata; Mammalia; Rodentia; Cricetidae.
AUAACCUGGAAGCACCCUAGAUGCCCCUCAGCUGAAGAAUGGAUAGAGAAAAUGUGGUACAUUUACACAAUGAAGUACUACUCAGUGGGAAAAAAAAUAGAAUCUUGAAAUUCGCAGGCAAAUGGAUGGCACUAGAAGAAACCAUCCUGAAUGAGGUAACCCAGUCACAAAAAGACAAACAUGAGCCUUCAUCCAUUGGCUGAUAUAAGCAGAGGCAGACACCCACAGAUAAACACUGAACUGAACUCCUGGAAUCCAGUUGCAAAGAAGGAAGAGUGAAGAGCAAAGGGAUCAAGACUGAGCUGGUGAACCCACAGAAACAGCUGACCUGAACAAGGGGGAGUGCACGGACCCCAGACUAAUGGCUGGGAGAUGAUGAAUGCUGGCUAAUUUGACAUGUUCUUCAAAUUUUCAUGUGUCCCCUAAAUAAGUGAAAUGGUAGCUUCACAGAGCCACAGCAACAUGGUGUUCGAGUCAGAUGGUUGAGAUGUCUUAAAAUCCAAGCUGAAAUUUUCCUGUAGCUGGGGAGUAAGUUUUCCACAGUGAAUGGUGAACAUUCCUACCAGCAACAUAUAAAGUCUUCAAAAGAUGAUGGGACCCCACAAUGACAGUGACUCCUGAAUUGUGAUACUGCCACUAAGCUGACAAAUACCGGGCAAAGAUCAGCUUUGAACUACAAACUUCUCAGAAAAAUUUCAAGACAGUUAGUUAAAAUGGUCCAGCCAAUUAGACAACUCCAACCAGGACUUCAAAUAACCUUGCGUUGUUCUGUUACACCAAGAUUGGACAACAGCUGGAUUCCCUGGGAUUUGGCUGUUAUUUCUAUUCAUUCAAGGUCCCCUAAAGAUGACAGCACCUCAUGUCAACAGGAAACAGUCUAGAAAACAUGAUGCCCACAUUCCCAAGAGGUGGGGUGGAUGAUUUUUAGUCAUUCAGUAGAUUAUAGAUAUUUGUCAUUCGGGGGGCUGUUUGCAAGUUGUUACUGGUCAUGGUCAAGAAAAUAGUAUUCAAAGGAGGCUAGAUUUCAGCAAUCUCUUUCUGAAAAGAAAAAGGGGGACAUUGGAAUGAUAAGAAAAAAGGGUAGAUUAUUGAAUCUACUUAGAUCCCAAAAGCAACUAUUAAUCUCAAAAAAAUUUACAUUGUGUGGAUUUUUUAUAUUGAUGUAAGUUUAAAAUUAAUUUUUGUUAAACUGUA